UCAGCUCUCACCGUGAAGUGUCAAAUUAAGUCAGAAAUCGAGCAAGACCCCCACCCCUAGUUGUUAUUCGCCUGCAGUCAGGCGGGGCACUCUAAGGGGACUGCCGGUGAUAAACCGGAGGAAGGAGGGGACCACGUCAAGUCAUCAUGCCCCUAAACCCCAGGGCUACACACGGGCUACAAUGGCGGGUACAAAGGGAUCCGACCCCGAAAGGGGGAGCCAAUCCCAUAAACCCCGCCGUAGUCCGGAUUGGGGGUCUGAACCUUGCCCUCAUGACGUGGAAUCCCUAGUAACGGGUC
RNAcentral lists this ribosomal RNA (299 nucleotides) under uncultured archaeon. Its description in RNAcentral is "partial 16S ribosomal RNA". It matches the Rfam family "Archaeal small subunit ribosomal RNA", at positions 1004 to 1303 of the family's 1478-position model. The record is from RNAcentral.